CAGCCGUAAACAAUGUGCGUUAGGUGUGUCGGUAACCACGCGUUACUGAUGCGCCGAAGAGAAAUCGUGAAACGCACCACCUGGGAAGUACGGUCGCAAGGCUGAAACUUAAAGGAUUGGCGGGGGAGCACCACAACAGGUGGAGCCUGCGGUUUAAUUGGAUUCAACGCCGGACAUCUCACCGGAUAAGACAGCUGAAUGAUAGCCAGGUUGAUGACUUUGCUUGACUAGCUGAGAGGAGGUGCAUGGCGUCAGUGACU
This 260-nucleotide ribosomal RNA is filed under the name uncultured archaeon. Its description in RNAcentral is "partial 16S ribosomal RNA". It matches the Rfam family "Archaeal small subunit ribosomal RNA", at positions 748 to 1008 of the family's 1478-position model. The record is from RNAcentral.